Molecule: ribosomal RNA, 253 nt
Filed under: uncultured bacterium
Lineage: Bacteria
Description: partial 16S ribosomal RNA
Rfam family: Bacterial small subunit ribosomal RNA
Source: RNAcentral
UACGUAGGGUGCGAGCGUUAAUCGGAAUUACUGGGCGUAAAGCGUGCGCAGGCGGUUUUGUAAGCCAGAUGUGAAAUCCCCGGGCUUAGCCUGGGAAUGGCAUUUGGGACUGCAAGGCUCGAGUGCGGCAGAGGAGACUGGAAUUCCUGGUGUAGCAGUGAAAUGCGUAGAUAUCAGGAGGAACACCGAUGGCGAAGGCAGGUCUCUGGGCUGACACUGACGCUCAUGCACGAAAGCGUGGGGAGCAAACAGG